This is a long non-coding RNA of Drosophila mauritiana, 1583 nucleotides long. RefSeq lists it as uncharacterized. The record is from RefSeq and is a predicted model, not a curated record. The transcript is spliced from 3 exons. NCBI's taxonomy places the organism in Eukaryota, Metazoa, Arthropoda, Insecta, Diptera, Drosophilidae.
GUUACAAGACCUGACAGGGGGGGGGGGGAUAAGAAUUAUUUUUCGUACACCAAAAUUGGCGUUUUAAUUUUAAAGUCUUGUCAUGGCCACUGCCUCUUCAUUAGCAAAGUUUCUGCACUUUCCAAUUCUGCAGUUAUCGAACCUCAAACUCGCCCCUUACAAACUGCCACAGAAAACUUUUACAUCAUUUUAAAAUAGUCCCCCCCUACAAAAAAAAGCAUUUAGGAAAGUUGCAGCUCGGCUUUCCCCCUUUUCCUGGACAUAAGCCCAGAGUUGCCGAAUUCGAACUAACUACACUUUAAUGUAAUUCAUACAAUUUCCAUUUGUCUAACCGUCCAUUAAUCAUUCGCACGCUGCUGAACACGGCCAAAAGGCGGGGCAGAGGUGGCCAAAACGGGGUGGAUGAUGGUUGGAUUGACUCUCCGGACUUGGCCAAAUUUGAAGCUUUGUUUACGUGUGACAAUCGGGCGACAAGUUGGAAAUCAAAAGCAUCUCCACCGCCACCGAAAAGUUGGCCCGAAUUUUAUUCAUCUGGCCUGACAACUUUCUGGCAUUGGAAAGAAUCCAAUGCGGUUGGUAAAACUUAUUAGGCGCAGUCAAGCAUGGCCUGCAAAUUGGUACACCUUGACGCUUCACUGGCUCCGCAGAUUCGAGGAUACGAGGAUUCCGCCAAAGCUUUAAGGCCAAGACAAAAGGCGGCCAAAAGGACAGCCAGCGGCGGGUUGAGAUACUUGGGCAGAUACAGAUACUUAGCGGCGAUAAAGACAAACGCUUGAUUAUGAGAAGCCAACCCAUGGCUGCGGAAUUUAUUUGUGUUGUAUAUUUAUUUAUGAGCUUGUCCCUCUCGCCAAGCAGAAACAAAAGAAGCCAGUGCCCAGAACUCACAACCCAAAUCCCCGGCAGAAUCACUCAAGUGCGAACGGAAACGGGCGCCCAGAACUUCAGAACUUGGUCCUGCCAUCGGGCAGGAAAUCAGCGAUUAAGCAACCAACUAACCAGUAACCAGUGAGUCAGUCACCAGUUGUUACUUGAGGAGCACAGGGAGAAAUAUUGGAAAUAAAUAGAACUAGAAUGUGCAAGCUCUUCAAAUCCCUGCCCUCGGGGCCUCUUCGCGAAUGGAAGUGUGUAAUUUUUGGUAUUAAUUGCUCGGUCUCGCAAAACUUUCCGGCUUCCAGUUAGCCCCAUCAGUUGAAAUAAUAACAAUGCCAGAAGGAUCGAAAAUCGUGCGGAGGAGGAGGAGCAACUGGACACGCCCACCGACAAUUGGCAGGGCGGCUAUUUCAAUCUCCUCCCCGGACUGAACCCCUCUGAAAAGAAAGAGGGAGGAGGGAUCUUUAGGAGGUGGUUUCCGAAUGGAGGACUUAACAUAUUGACUAUGACCUUUUGUUGGCUGUUUGCCGUUUGCUGUUUGUUGUUUGUUAGGCGGCAGUUCGAAAUUUAUGCUCACAUGGCGCCUUCGAUAAGAUCGAGAACUCCGUGCUGAAAGUAAAUUUCUUCCCCUCAGCCAUUCAAGUCCCCACUUCCCUUUCGGCACCAGCAAGAGCAAGGACAUGUCGCUGAAAGCAUUAUCAAAUAUUAUGCAU